Molecule: ribosomal RNA, 423 nt
Filed under: uncultured bacterium
Lineage: Bacteria
Description: partial 16S ribosomal RNA
Rfam family: Bacterial small subunit ribosomal RNA
Source: RNAcentral
GAAUUUUUGACAAUGGGCGAAAGCCUGAUCCAGCAAUGCCGCGUGCAGGAUGAAGGCCUCCGGGUUGUAAUCUGCUUCUGUACGGAACGAAAAGCUUUGGGUUAAUACCCUGGAGUCAUGACGGUACCGUAAGCAUAAGCACCGGCUAACUACCUGCCAGCCGCCGCGGUCAUACGUAGGGUGCAAGCGUCAAUCGGAAUUACUGGGCGUAAAGCGUGCGCAGGGGGGUGUGUAAGACAGAGGUGAAAUCCCCGGGCUCAACCUGGGAACUGCCUUUGUGACCGCAAGGCUAGAGUACGGCAGAGGGGGGUGGAAUUCCGCGUGUAGCAGUGAAAUGCGUAGAUAUGCGGAGGAACACCGAUGGCGAAGGCAACCCCCUGGGCCUGUACUGACGCUCAUGCACGAAAGCGUGGGGAGCAAACA